Molecule: ribosomal RNA, 465 nt
Filed under: uncultured bacterium
Lineage: Bacteria
Description: partial 16S ribosomal RNA
Rfam family: Bacterial small subunit ribosomal RNA
Source: RNAcentral
GACGAACGCUGGCGGCGUGCUUAACACAUGCAAGUCGUACGGUAAGGCCCUUUUGGGGGUACACGCGUGGCGAACGGGUGAGUAACACGUGCGUAACUUGCCUACAACUUUGGGAUAACGCUCUGAAACUGGUGCUAAUACUGGAUAUGUGCUCCUGCUUCCUGGUGGGGGUUGGAAAGCUCCGGCGGUUGUGGAUGGACUCGCGGCCUAUCCGUUUGUUGGUGGGGUAGUGGCCUACCAAGGCGGGCAUGGGGAGCCGGCCUGGGAGGGUGACCGGCCACAAUGGGACUGGUGUACGGCCCAGACUCCUACGGGGGGGAACAGGGGGGAAUAUUGCACAAUGGGCGCAAGCCUGAUGCAGCAACGCCGCGUGCGGGAUGACGGCCUUCGGGUUGGAAACCGCUUUCAGCAGGGACGAAGCUUUGAGUGACGGUACCUGCAGAAGAAGCACCGGCUAACUACGUG